RNAcentral lists this long non-coding RNA (255 nucleotides) under Bos taurus (domestic cattle). RNAcentral describes it as "long non-coding RNA NONBTAT018538". The record is from RNAcentral. Lineage: Eukaryota; Metazoa; Chordata; Mammalia; Artiodactyla; Bovidae.
UCCAAAAUCAGAGGGCUAAAAAGGACUUAGAGAAGUCACAGAGUUCACCAGUUUGCCUCCCAGCAUAGGAUGGCAUCUAAGUCUAACAAGGCAGGUGAUGAAUAUUGUUAAAGGUAGCUGGUGUUUCACACUGUUCAAAUGGAUGUCCAACUACCAUUUAUUAUAAGAAAGAGCUUUUUUGCCCUACUGAUACCAGUGGCAGAAUCAUUCUAACUAAAAUAUGUGUUAAAUAUCAGAAGCUAUCAAUGUUCUUAU